CCUACGGGUGGCAGCAGUGGGGAAUAUUGGACAAUGGGGGGAACCCUGAUCCAGCGACGCCGCGUGAGUGAAGAAGUAUUUCGGUAUGUAAAGCUCUAUCAGCAGGGAAGAAAAUGACGGUACCUGACUAAGAAGCCCCGGCUAACUACGUGCCAGCAGCCGCGGUAAUACGUAGGGGGCAAGCGUUAUCCGGAUUUACUGGGUGUAAAGUGAGCGUAGACGGUGAAGCAAGUCUGAUGUGAAAGGUCGGGGCCGAACCCCCAGACUACAUUGGAAACUGUUGAACUCGAGUACAGGAGAGGUAAGCGGAAUUGCUAGUGUAGCGGUGAAAUGCGUAGAUAUUAGGAGGAACACCAGUGGCGAAGGCGGGUUACUGGAAUGUUACUGACGUUGAGGCUCGAAAGCGUAGGGAGCAAACAGGAUUAGAUACCCUAGUAGUC
RNAcentral lists this ribosomal RNA (440 nucleotides) under uncultured bacterium. RNAcentral describes it as "partial 16S ribosomal RNA". It matches the Rfam family "Bacterial small subunit ribosomal RNA", at positions 338 to 795 of the family's 1533-position model. The record is from RNAcentral.